RNAcentral lists this ribosomal RNA (133 nucleotides) under uncultured bacterium. Its description in RNAcentral is "partial 16S ribosomal RNA". The record is from RNAcentral.
GGUACCGUCAGGCCUAACGUGUAUUAUACGUUAGGAGGUUCUUCCCCUCUGACAGAGCUUUACGACCCAAGAGCCUUCACCACUCACGCGGUAUUGCUGCGUCAGGCUUUCGCCCAUUGCGCAAAAUUCCCCA